GGUCAAGUGACAAAGCGUGCACGGUGGAUGCCUUGGCAGUCAGAGGCGAUGAAGGACGUGGUAACCUGCGAAAAGCGUUGGGAAGGUGGUAAACAACCUGUGAUCCAACGAUGUCCGAAUGGGGAAACCCACCCAACUUGUUGGGUAUCUCAUACUGAAUACAUAGGUAUGUAGAGGCGAACGAGGGGAACUGAAACAUCUAAGUACCCUUAGGAAAAGAAAUCAACCGAGAUUCCCUUAGUAGCGGCGAGCGAACGGGGACCAGCCCUUAAGUUGGUAAGUGGUUAACAGAACGCUCUGGAAAGUGCGGCCAUAGUGGGUGAAAGCCCCGUAUGUGACAACCUAUUACCAAUGAAAU
Molecule: ribosomal RNA, 358 nt
Filed under: Neptunomonas phycophila
Lineage: Bacteria; Pseudomonadati; Pseudomonadota; Gammaproteobacteria; Oceanospirillales; Oceanospirillaceae
Description: partial 23S ribosomal RNA
Rfam family: Bacterial large subunit ribosomal RNA
Source: RNAcentral